RNAcentral lists this ribosomal RNA (464 nucleotides) under Vreelandella stevensii. Its description in RNAcentral is "partial 16S ribosomal RNA". It matches the Rfam family "Bacterial small subunit ribosomal RNA", at positions 338 to 795 of the family's 1533-position model. Lineage: Bacteria; Pseudomonadati; Pseudomonadota; Gammaproteobacteria; Oceanospirillales; Halomonadaceae. The record is from RNAcentral.
CCUACGGGCGGCUGCAGUGGGGAAUAUUGGACAAUGGGGGAACCCUGAUCCAGCCAUGCCGCGUGUGUGAAGAAGGCCCUCGGGUUGUAAAGCACUUUCAGUGAGGAAGAACGCCUGGUGGUUAAUACCCAUCAGGAAAGACAUCACUCACAGAAGAAGCACCGGCUAACUCCGUGCCAGCAGCCGCGGUAAUACGGAGGGUGCGAGCGUUAAUCGGAAUUACUGGGCGUAAAGCGCGCGUAGGUGGCUUGAUAAGCCGGUUGUGAAAGCCCCGGGCUCAACCUGGGAACGGCAUCCGGAACUGUCAAGCUAGAGUGCAGGAGAGGAAGGUAGAAUUCCCGGUGUAGCGGUGAAAUGCGUAGAGAUCGGGAGGAAUACCAGUGGCGAAGGCGGCCUUCUGGACUGACACUGACACUGAGGUGCGAAAGCGUGGGUAGCAAACAGGAUUAGAUACCCUGGUAGUC